Molecule: long non-coding RNA, 401 nt
Organism: Mycetomoellerius zeteki
Lineage: Eukaryota; Metazoa; Arthropoda; Insecta; Hymenoptera; Formicidae
Exons: 3
Source: RefSeq, a predicted model, not a curated record
UUGUGCGGGUCGUUUCCGUGUCGUCCGCUCGUCCGGUGAGGUGUGCUCCGAGCCGUCUCUCCCGAAAGUAGCAUCUCUCCGUCCGGCAGUUCGAUCCUCGUUCAUCCGUGGAUCUUCUGGAUCCGCCGACUCUUCGCGUGUAAGAUCUCAGAUCGGGAGAGCACGAUAAUAUCGAACGUACGUCGCGAUCGAGCACAGGAAAGCGGGACGACCACGUGAGAUCCGGUCUCUAGAGGACGGAAAAAUAUGAACAUUUCGUGAAGCCAGGAAAGCGGAGUUUUCAUCAUGGAAACCGAGGAACUUACUAGGCUUGUCGACGAGAUCUACAAGAAUAUCUUGGAUAAGUUCAAUCCUGGCGCGAGGCAGCUGAUCAACGCAGGCAAGGCGUACCUGAAGGCUCU